UGGGGAAUUUUGGACAAUGGGCGAAAGCCUGAUCCAGCAAUGCCGCGUGUGUGAAGAAGGCCUUCGGGUUGUAAAGCACUUUUGUCCGGAAAGAAAUCCUUGGCUCUAAUACAGUCGGGGGAUGACGGUACCGGAAGAAUAAGCACCGGCUAACUACGUGCCAGCAGCCGCGGUAAUACGUAGGGUGCAAGCGUUAAUCGGAAUUACUGGGCGUAAAGCGUGCGCAGGCGGUUUGCUAAGACCGAUGUGAAAUCCCCGGGCUCAACCUGGGAACUGCAUUGGUGACUGGCAGGCUAGAGUAUGGCAGAGGGGGGUAGAAUUCCACGUGUAGCAGUGAAAUGCGUAGAGAUGUGGAGGAAUACCGAUGGCGAAGGCAGCCCCCUGGGCCAAUACUGACGCUCAUGCACGAAAGCGUGGGGAGCAAAACAGGAUUAGAUACCCUGGUAGUCCACGCCCUAAAACGAUGUCAACUAGUUGUUGGGGAUUCAUUUCCUUAGUAACGUAGCUAACGCGUGAAGUUGACCGCCUGGGGAGUACGGUCGCAAGAUUAAAACUCAAAUGAAUUGACGGGGUCAUAGCUGUUUCU
Molecule: ribosomal RNA, 586 nt
Filed under: uncultured bacterium
Lineage: Bacteria
Description: partial 16S ribosomal RNA
Rfam family: Bacterial small subunit ribosomal RNA
Source: RNAcentral